UAACUAGCAAAGAGACCUUGUUUCAACAUCAAAUAUGUUUCCGUAAGGCCAGAUUCUUGGGCAAAGUUGUUUUAGCGAUCUGGUUGCAACUAAGUAUUGGAGUUGUUGUGCCUUGAAGCUAGAAACUGCCUUGAAUUUCUACAUAGGGAAAUGUAAUCUAUUGCUUUCUUACAGAUUGCCAUUUGCCAGCUGACCUGUGACACAGCAGCAGUGUAUUACAUUUUCAAUGAGCAGUCUGUCUGGAGCUGCUAGUGGGAGAAACUGCUUCCUGGUUUCUAGGUAUCCUGUAAGAACAAAUUGCUGCCUCCUCCAGGUGGAAAGGGAUCAAAUAUAAUUAAUCUGUGUGUGCCACACAGUAGCUUGAUAGUUUAAUUGAGGAAUGUUGACAUAUUGAGAGCUCAGCAUUACUUUCUGCUAUCAGCAGUGACGGCAUAAGAGCUGUAUCCUAACUGCACUGCUGAAUUUGGGCUUCCUGUGGGGGCACGGCAAGUGCCCUCUUUGAGAGUGAGGAGGCUGAGAGUCUCACACCAACAGGAAUGAGUGCUUUGAAAUUAACUGGUGUUUGGAAAUUGAUCUGAAGCCAGUGCCUGGGAUUCUGAGAUGCAGCCACAUCAUAAAGUUUCAUUACUCAAUUGCAGUAGAGAAAACCUCAAAGGAACCACUUCUAAUGGAAACUGCCUCAAUUCCUGGUCAAGUCUCACAGUCUAACCUGGAGGUGCUCUGAGAUGUGACUAAGUUAAGGAUUUUGAGAUGAAGAGACCAUCCUGAAUUAUCUGAGUGGGUCCUGAAUGUCAUCACAAGAAGCCUUAGAAGAGAGAAGCAUGAAAACCAGAAGAGGAGGAAGAGGCAACCGGGCCAUGAAGACAAGAGAUUAGAGUGAUGUGGCCACAAGUCAAGAAGUGCCGGCCUCCAGCAAAAAACUGGAAGUCAGGAGCAGGAUCUCUCCUAGAGCCUGUGGAGGGAAUGUAACCCUGCCAAUAACUUGAUUUUGGCCCAGAGAAACUGACUUCAGACUUCUGGCCUUCAGGAUGGCGAGAGAAUUAAAUCGCUGUUGUUUUUAGCCCAGUAUGUGGUAAUUUUGUUACAACAGCCACAGAAAACUAGUACAGUGGAUUUUUAGCAGUAGAAUUAAAUUAGCAGUGGAUUAAAGAGCAGUAGAAUUGUGAUUUUAUCAACACUUACUGGAUGGCAGAUUUCCUCUGCAGCAGAAGAGAAUAAAAUGUUGCCUAGGUGAUGCUGACCACCAAAACUUCUGCCAUGGACUCAGCAGUGUGAACAGACCCUGGGAAUCUAUGUACACAUAAAACACCAUGAACAUUUUGCAUUUUCUGAUUUGAACUGAAUAGGCG
RNAcentral lists this long non-coding RNA (1349 nucleotides) under Homo sapiens (human). Its description in RNAcentral is "non-protein coding lnc-KCNJ3-7:2". Lineage: Eukaryota; Metazoa; Chordata; Mammalia; Primates; Hominidae. The record is from RNAcentral.